UUUGAAUUUAUCUAUGUCGGUUCCCGGGCGUUGUCCGGGAUGAAAAGGGAAUCCUGUGUGAAUCAGGGACGGUCCCGCCGCUGUAACCCCGCCUCUAUCUGUGUGAGGGAAGAGGAACUCUUUGAGCUUGUAAUGCCACUACUUCGUUUAAGGAAGUGGGAAGGCCGCUUAAAAGGGCAAAGGGAGUCAGAAGACCUGCCGAUGUAGUGAUUCAUGU
RNAcentral lists this non-coding RNA (217 nucleotides) under Candidatus Omnitrophota bacterium. The record is from RNAcentral. Lineage: Bacteria; Pseudomonadati; Candidatus Omnitrophota.